AGCACCACUAUUAUAAUUUGUUCUCAAGAUAAUCAAAAUCAUAUGUGAAGCUAGGCAUGAUGGCAUAUUCCCCCACCCCCACUCCCAGCCCUGGAAAGCAGAAGCAGGGGAUCAUACCAUGUUCAAUGCUAUACUCUGGUCUACACAGAACUAGAGAAUGCUAACCUGAGAUACUGCACACAAUCGUUCAUUUUGUUCGGAUAUUCGACUUUGACCUAUGGAUUCAUUCCCUCUACUGUACUGCACGUUUUCGUCGUCAACUGAUCUCUCUCCAUUUAUCAUUAUCUCCCUCUCCACCUACCUCUACACUAUUUCUUAUAUAUGCAAAACACACAAUAAAUAAUGAAGAAUUAAAAUAAAAA
Molecule: long non-coding RNA, 362 nt
Filed under: Mus caroli (Ryukyu mouse)
Lineage: Eukaryota; Metazoa; Chordata; Mammalia; Rodentia; Muridae
Description: predicted gene 44818 (MGP_CAROLIEiJ_G0006524.1)
Source: RNAcentral